ACCAACACCAUAAAAACAACCUAUAACCAGUGUCCUUUCCACAGUCCAUGAAAACACUGACUCUAACCAUGGAAUGGAGCUGGAUGUUUUUCUUCCUCUUGUCAGUUUCUGCAGGUGUCCACUCUGAGGUUAAGCUGCAGCAGUCUGGAGCUGAACUGGUGAAGCGUGGGUCUUCAGUGAAGCUGUCCUGCAAGGCUUCUGGCUACACAUUUAGCAACAGCUAUAUGCACUGGGUAAAGCAGAGCCCUGGACAUGAUCUUGAGUGGAUUGGAUGGAUUUAUGCUGGAAAUGGUGGUACUAAGUACAAUGAGAAAUUCAAAGGGAAGGCCACACUGACUGCAGACACAUCCUCCAGCACAGCCUACAUGCAGCUCAGCAGCCUGACAUCUGAGGACUCUGCAGUCUAUUACUGUGCUAGACACAGUGUUGUAACCACAUCCUGAGUGUGUCAGAAACCC
Apodemus sylvaticus (European woodmouse) is the source of this 458-nucleotide non-coding RNA. NCBI's taxonomy places the organism in Eukaryota, Metazoa, Chordata, Mammalia, Rodentia, Muridae. The record is from the annotation of a RefSeq genome assembly.